AGAACGAACGCUGGCGGCAUGCCUAACACAUGCAAGUCGAACGAGACCUUCGGGUCUAGUGGCGCACGGGUGCGUAACGCGUGGGAACCUGCCUUUAGGUUCGGGAUAACAGUUAGAAAUGACUGCUAAUACCGGAUGAUGUCUUCGGACCAAAGAUUUAUCGCCUUUAGAUGGGCCCGCGUUGGAUUAGCUAGUUGGUGGGGUAAAGGCCUACCAAGGCGACGAUCCAUAGCUGGUCUGAGAGGAUGAUCAGCCACACUGGGACUGAGACACGGCCCAGACUCCUACGGGAGGCAGCAGUGGGGAAUAUUGGACAAUGGGCGAAAGCCUGAUCCAGCAAUGCCGCGUGAGUGAUGAAGGCCUUAGGGUUGUAAAGCUCUUUUACCAGGGAUGAUAAUGACAGUACCUGGAGAAUAAGCUCCGGCUAACUCCGUGCCAGCAGCCGC
This 446-nucleotide ribosomal RNA is filed under the name uncultured bacterium. RNAcentral's name for it is "SSU rRNA". It matches the Rfam family "Bacterial small subunit ribosomal RNA", at positions 26 to 518 of the family's 1533-position model. The record is from RNAcentral.